UCUUAAACUCUCCAUCAAAAGAGAGAACUGC
RNAcentral lists this non-coding RNA (31 nucleotides) under Rattus norvegicus (Norway rat). The record is from RNAcentral. Lineage: Eukaryota; Metazoa; Chordata; Mammalia; Rodentia; Muridae.